AAGUCGUAACAAGGUUUCCGUAGGUGAACCUGCGGAAGGAUCAUUAUUGAAUAACUGGUGUCUUCGGACCCAAACCCUCAUAAUUUCCUUCUUAAUACCUGUGAACUGUUUUAGAGAAUGCAAUGCUGAAUUGAGCUUUCGGAGGGGUGCAAGCCGCUCGGAUCGCUGUCUUUACAUUGCUUCUCGACAAUUUUAUAUCAAAAACAACGUCUUAGUAUGUAUCAAAUUUAAAAUUCAAUCCAAGCAAUUGGGGCGAAUCAUAUAACAAAAUACAA
Molecule: unclassified non-coding RNA, 275 nt
Filed under: plant metagenome
Description: partial contains small subunit ribosomal RNA and internal transcribed spacer 1
Rfam family: Eukaryotic small subunit ribosomal RNA (bases 1-46)
Source: RNAcentral